AGAGUUUGAUCCUGGCUCAGGAUGAACGCUAGCGGCAGGCUUAACACAUGCAAGUCGAGGGGCAGCGGGGAGGAAGCUUGCUUUCUCCGCCGGCGACCGGCGCACGGGUGAGUAACACGUAUGCAACCUGCCCCUGUCAGGGGGACAACCCGCCGAAAGGCGGGCUAAACCCGCGUACAUGCCACCGGGGCAUCCCGGAGGCAGGAAAGGCUUCGGCCGGACAGGGAUGGGCAUGCGGCGCAUUAGGCAGUAGGCGGGGUAACGGCCCACCUAACCGACGAUGCGUAGGGGUUCUGAGAGGAAGGUCCCCCACACUGGUACUGAGACACGGACCAGACUCCUACGGGAGGCAGCAGUGAGGAAUAUUGGUCAAUGGUCGGGAGACUGAACCAGCCAAGCCGCGUGAGGGAGGAAGGUACAGAGUAUCGUAAACCUCUUUUGUCAGGGAACAAAGGCGGGGACGUGUCCCCGGAUGAGUGUACCUGAAGAAAAAGCAUCGGCUAACUCCGUGCCAGCAGCCGCGGUAAUACGGAGGAUGCGAGCGUUAUCCGGAUUUAUUGGGUUUAAAGGGUGCGCAGGCGGUCUGUUAAGUCAGCGGUCAAAGCCCGGGGCUCAACCCCGGCCCGCCGUUGAAACUGGCAGUCUCGAGUUGGAGAGAAGUAUGCGGAAUGCGCGGUGUAGCGGUGAAAUGCAUAGAUAUCGCGCAGAACUCCGAUUGCGAAGGCAGCAUGCCGGCUCCACACUGACGCUGAGGCACGAAAGCGUGGGUAUCGAACAGGAUUAGAUACCCUGGUAGUCCACGCAGUAAACGAUGAAUGCUGGCUGUCCGGGGGGACUGACCCCUGGGUGGCGAAGCGAAAGCGAUAAGCAUUCCACCUGGGGAGUACGCCGGCAACGGUGAAACUCAAAGGAAUUGACGGGGGCCCGCACAAGCGGAGGAACAUGUGGUUUAAUUCGAUGAUACGCGAGGAACCUUACCCGGGCUCAAACGGGGAGUGGCGCAGGCAGAGACGCCUGUUUCCCACGGGUCACUCCCCGAGGUGCUGCAUGGUUGUCGUCAGCUCGUGCCGAGAGGUGUCGGCUUAAGUGCCAUAACGAGCGCAACCCCCGCGUGCAGUUGCUAACAGUCAACGCUGAGGACUCUGCACGGACUGCCGGCGCAAGCCGCGAGGAAGGCGGGGAUGACGUCAAAUCAGCACGGCCCUUACGUCCGGGGCGACACACGUGUUACAAUGGGUGGUACAGCGGGAAGCCAGGCGGCGACGCCGAGCGGAACCCGAAAUCCACUCUCAGUUCGGAUCGGAGUCUGCAACCCGACUCCGUGAAGCUGGAUUCGCUAGUAAUCGCGCAUCAGCCAUGGCGCGGUGAAUACGUUCCCGGGCCUUGCACUCACCGCCCGUCA
RNAcentral lists this ribosomal RNA (1402 nucleotides) under uncultured bacterium. RNAcentral describes it as "16S ribosomal RNA". It matches the Rfam family "Bacterial small subunit ribosomal RNA". The record is from RNAcentral.